This 339-nucleotide unclassified non-coding RNA is filed under the name soil metagenome. RNAcentral's name for it is "partial contains 5.8S ribosomal RNA, internal transcribed spacer 2, and large subunit ribosomal RNA". The stretch from base 1 to 120 matches the Rfam family "5.8S ribosomal RNA", at positions 35 to 154 of the family's 154-position model. The record is from RNAcentral.
GAUGAAGAACUCAGCGAAAUGCGAUACGUAGCGUGAAUUGCAGAAUUCAGUGAAUCAUCGAAUCUUUGAACGCACAUUGCACCUCUCGGUAUUCCGGGAGGUAUGCCUGUUCGAGCGUCAUUUGUACCCUCAAGCUCUGCUUGGUGUUGGGUGUUUGUUCCGCCUCUGUGUGUGAACUCGCCUCAAAACAAUUGGCAGCCGGCGUACUUGUUUCGGAGCGCAGCACAUUUUGCGAUCCAGAUCAACGUACAGCGGCAUCCAAGAAGCCUUAUUUAACGCUCUUGACCUCGGAUCAGGUAGGGAUACCCGCUGAACUUAAGCAUAUCAAUAAGCGGAGGA